RNA transcript from Nannospalax galili (Upper Galilee mountains blind mole rat), 1370 nucleotides. It is a transcript of the gene named alpha-enolase pseudogene, with no coding region annotated. The transcript has a single exon. Lineage: Eukaryota; Metazoa; Chordata; Mammalia; Rodentia; Spalacidae. The record is from RefSeq and is a predicted model, not a curated record.
AUGUCUAUUCUCAAGAUCCAUGCCAGAGAGAUCUUUGACUCUUGAGAAAACCCCACUGGGGAGGUUGAUCUCUACACCUCAAAAGGUCUCUUCCGAGCUGCCGUGCCCAGUGGUGCCUCAACUGGUAUCUAUGAGGCCCUGGAACUCCAGGACAAUGAUAAGACACGCUACAUGGGAAAGGGUGUCUCAAAGGCUGUUGAGCACAUCAAUAAAACUAUUGCACCUGCUCUGGUUAGCAAGAAACUGAGUGUCAUAGAACAGGAGAAGAUCGACAAACUGAUGAUUGAAAUGGAUGGGACUGAAAAAUAAAUCUAAGUUUGGCACAUAUGUCAUCCUGGGAAUAUCCCUGGCUGUCUGCAAAGCUGGUGCUGUAGAGCAGGGCAUGCCCCUGUACCGACACAUCGCCGACCUGGCUGGUAACCCCAAAGUCAUCCUGCCAGUCCCGGCUUUCAACAUAAUCAACGGUGGCUCCCACACUGGCAGCAAGCUGGCCAUGCAGGAGUUCACGAUCCUCCCCGUGGGUGCUUCCAGUUUCUGGGAAGCCAUGCACAUUGAAGCAGAGGUUUAUCACAACCUGAAGAAUGUCAUCAAGGAGAAAUAUGGAAAAGAUGCCACCAAUGUGGGUGAUGAAGGUGGGUUUGCUCCCAACAUCCUGGAGAACAAAGAAGCCUUGGAGCUGCUGAAGAACGCAAUUGGGAAGGCUGUUACACUGACAAGGUUGUCAUCGGCAUGGAUGUAGGUGCCUCUGAGUUCUUCAGGGCCAGAAAAUAUGACUUGGACUUCAAAUCUCCUGAUGACCCCAACAGGUACAUCUCUCCUGACCAGCUGGAUGACCUGUAUAAGUCCUUCAUCCGAGACUAUCCAGUGGUGUCCAUUGAAGAUCCCUUUGACCAGGAUGACUGGGAAGCUUGGCAGAAGUUCACGGAUAGUGCAGGCAUCCAGGUUGUUGGGGAUGAUCUCACAGUGACCAACCCAAAACGAAUUGCCAAGGCUGGGGCUGACAAGUCCUGUAACUGCCUCCUGCUCAAAAUGAACCAGAUUGGCUCUGUGACCGAGUCUCUGAAGGUGUGCAAGCUGGCACAGUCUAAUGGUUGGAGUGUCAUGGUGUCCCAUCACUCUGGGGAGACUGAAGAUACCUUCAUUGCCGAUCUGGUGGUGGGACUCUGUACUGGGCAGAUUAAGACUGGUUCACCUUGCCGAUCAGAGCAUCUGGCCAAGUACAAUCAGAUCCUCAGAAUCAAGGAGGAACUGGGCAGCAAGGCCAAGUUUGCCAGCAAGUCCUUCAGAAACCCCCUGGCCAAGUAAACGAUGGUCAGCCAUCCCUGGAGCCCUCAGUCACACUGGCUGCUUAGACCAUGUCCCUGAUAUCG